CACAGCAUUCCGGGAUGGGAGAAAAACAUGCUCUGGUUUGUUGGCAUUUCUUUAAACCAAUCACAAUCGUCUUGGGCGGUGCUUAGCGCCGCACGGAGCAACGGUGCUUCUGCAAAAUAGUGUCGGGAAGGAAUUUGUAAAUCUAAACACC
This is a long non-coding RNA of Etheostoma spectabile (orangethroat darter), 151 nucleotides long. RefSeq lists it as uncharacterized. The record is from RefSeq and is a predicted model, not a curated record. The transcript is spliced from 3 exons. NCBI's taxonomy places the organism in Eukaryota, Metazoa, Chordata, Actinopteri, Perciformes, Percidae.